RNAcentral lists this small RNA (85 nucleotides) under Tetranychus urticae (two-spotted spider mite). RNAcentral's name for it is "sRNA tetur42g00245". Lineage: Eukaryota; Metazoa; Arthropoda; Arachnida; Trombidiformes; Tetranychidae. The record is from RNAcentral.
UUAGAUGGUAACACGACUACGGUUAUGGAUAAGUCAAUGCAUCAAGCAGUGGUAUGGUCCAGACUGUAGCUGUUCACGCAUCUAU